This 220-nucleotide ribosomal RNA is filed under the name uncultured bacterium. Its description in RNAcentral is "partial 16S ribosomal RNA". It matches the Rfam family "Bacterial small subunit ribosomal RNA", at positions 96 to 334 of the family's 1533-position model. The record is from RNAcentral.
CGGCGGACGGGUGAGUAACGCGUGAGAAUCUGCCUUCAGGACGGAGACAACAGUUGGAAACGACUGCUAAGCCCCGAUGAACCGAAAGGGAAAAUAUUUAUAGCCUGAAGAUGAGCUCGCGUCCGAUUAGCUAGUUGGCGGAGUAAAAGCCCACCAAGGCGACGAUCGGUAGCUGGUCUGAGAGGACGAUCAGCCACACUGGGACUGAGACACGGCCCAG